UUCCGAAGGUCACGCCUUGCCUCUCCGGGACUCUGCCAUGUUGUCGACAUGAUUAGUGGCUUCUUCCUUCUUGGAGAAAUCCUUUUGGUUGAGGAUGUUGUCUGAGGACAACAAAUACAGCGCAACAAAUCAUUUGGUUACAUACAAUACGACAUUUGAGCUUUUUGGGUUGGUGAUCUAGAAGCCUUUGUCUUAACACAAAUGAUGGGCUGAAAUUUGACAACCUUCUAGAUCAGAGUUUGGUCAGGGCAAUACCUUACGUAGCGAAGUUCGAUAUGGAGUGUCUACGAUCAAUGAUGUCAUAAUUUGGUCAAGGCUAUACUUUACCUCGUCAAUUUCGACUUGGAGUGUC
Molecule: long non-coding RNA, 352 nt
Organism: Eucalyptus grandis
Lineage: Eukaryota; Viridiplantae; Streptophyta; Magnoliopsida; Myrtales; Myrtaceae
Exons: 4
Source: RefSeq, a predicted model, not a curated record